This 378-nucleotide unclassified non-coding RNA is filed under the name Hevea brasiliensis (rubber tree). The record is from RNAcentral. Lineage: Eukaryota; Viridiplantae; Streptophyta; Magnoliopsida; Malpighiales; Euphorbiaceae.
CUGGAAAAGAGUCCAAGAGGAAGCUCAGAGCUUCCAAAGUAUCCACAAAUUUAACAAAUAAGUUUCUGGGUACGGAAAUGGAUUUGGAAGCUGAUACUUGCGUGACAAUGGAUGAUGCGCAAAUGAAGAUAGCAAAUUUAAGACCAAACUUCUCUCUUAGUUGUAUAGAAGGUGAUUCCUCUGGCAAUUACAAAUCAUGUGAGGCAGCAAAUAAAGUUUUCGAAACCAGUUCCUUUGAAACUUCUGUUCUUCAAUCUCAUAAGAUGACACAGCAUUUUGCACACCAACCAAUUUGUAAUUUUCCAAGUCCAACGGAACUAGCAAUCCUUGAUGAUAGAUUUCUGGCAAAGCGCUGUGGUCUUGGCUAUAGAGCAGGUC